ACACGUAGGAGGCAAGCGUUAUCCGAAUUUACUGGGCGUAAAGCGCGUGCAGGCGGUUCGGUAAGUUGGAUGUGAAAUCUCUCGGCUCAACUGGGAGGGGACGUUCAAUACUGUCGGACUCGAGGACGAUAGAGGGAGGUGGAAUUCCCGGUGUAGUGGUGAAAUGCGUAGAUAUCGGGAGGAACACCAGUGGCGAAAGCGGCCUCCUGGAUCGUUCCUGACGCUCAGACGCGAAAGCUAGGGGAGCGAACGGGAUUAGAAACCCCGGUAGUCCUAGCCGUAAACGAUGUAGACUUGGUGUUGGUGGGGUAAAAUCCAUCAGUGCCGAAGCUAACGCGAUAAGUCUACCGCCUGGGGACUACGGUCGCAAGGCUAAA
This 377-nucleotide ribosomal RNA is filed under the name uncultured bacterium. Its description in RNAcentral is "bacterial SSU rRNA". It matches the Rfam family "Bacterial small subunit ribosomal RNA", at positions 523 to 898 of the family's 1533-position model. The record is from RNAcentral.